AUUGAACGCUGGCGGCAUGCUUUACACAUGCAAGUCGAACGGUAACAGGCCUUCGGGUGCUGACGAGUGGCGAACGGGUGAGUAAUGCAUCGGAACGUACCCAGAGGUGGGGGAUAACGCAGCGAAAGCUGUGCUAAUACCGCAUGUGAUCUGAGGAUGAAAGCGGGGGACCGAGCAGCAAUGUUUGGCCUCGCGCCUUUGGAGCGGCCGAUGUCGGAUUAGCUAGUUGGUGGGGUAAAGGCCUACCAAGGCGACGAUCCGUAGCUGGUCUGAGAGGACGACCAGCCACACUGGGACUGAGACACGGCCCAGACUCCUACGGGAGGCGGCAGUGGGGAAUUUUGGACAAUGGGCGCAAGCCUGAUCCAGCAAUGCCGCGUGCGGGAAGAAGGCCUUCGGGUUGUAAACCGCUUUUGGCAGGAACGAAACGGUGUCCGCUAAUACCGGGCGCUAAUGACGGUACCUGCAGAAUAAGCACCGGCUAACUACGUG
RNAcentral lists this ribosomal RNA (492 nucleotides) under uncultured bacterium. Its description in RNAcentral is "partial 16S ribosomal RNA". It matches the Rfam family "Bacterial small subunit ribosomal RNA", at positions 29 to 507 of the family's 1533-position model. The record is from RNAcentral.